Molecule: small RNA, 131 nt
Filed under: uncultured Mediterraneibacter sp.
Lineage: Bacteria; Bacillati; Bacillota; Clostridia; Lachnospirales; Lachnospiraceae
Description: Ribosomal protein L10 leader
Rfam family: Ribosomal protein L10 leader
About the family: This family is a putative r-protein leader autoregulatory structure found in B. subtilis and other low-GC Gram-positive bacteria. It is located in the 5' untranslated regions of mRNAs encoding ribosomal proteins L10 and L12 (rplJ-rplL). A Rho-independent transcription terminator structure that is probably involved in regulation is included at the 3' end.
Source: RNAcentral
UUUAUAUUAGUAACUGCCGAAGACAGCAGGUGCCGCAAGGCAUAAGGAGAAAACGCCUGCCGAGGACGAGUGAAAUUCUAGCAAUGAAUUUGUAAACCUCUGUGUCUUCAGGCGCAGAGGUUUUCUGUUAU